AUUGCCUUAGUAACGGCGAGUGAAGCGGCAAUAGCUCAAAUUUGAAAUCUGGCAUUUUUGGAUGUCCGAGUUGUAAUUUGUAGAGGAUGUUUCGGUAUUAGCUCCAGUCUAAGUCCCUUGGAACAGGGCGUCGCAGAGGGUGAGAAUCCCGUACGCGACUGGCUGCUUUUGCCAUGUGAAACUCCUUCGACGAGUCGAGUUGUUUGGGAAUGCAGCUCUAAUUGGGAGGUAAAUUUCUUCUAAAGCUAAAUACUGGCCAGAGACCGAUAGCGCACAAGUAGAGUGAUCGAAAGAUGAAAAGCACUUUGGAAAGAGAGUUAAAAAGUACGUGAAAUUGUUGAAAGGGAAGCGCUUGCAAUCAGACCUGCUUGCAGUUGUUCAUCUGGACUUUUGUCUAGUGCACUCUUCUGUGAGUCAGGCCAGUAUCGGUUUGGGCGGUUGGAUAAAGAUUUCAGGAAUGUAGCUCUCUUCGGAGAGUGUUAUAGCUUGUUUUGUAAUGCAACCAGCCCAGAUCGAGGACCGCGCUUCGGCUAGGAUACUGGCGUAAUGGUUGUAAGCGGCCCGUCUUGAAACACGGACCAAGGAGUCUAACAUCUGUGCGAGUGUUCGGGUGUCAAACCCGUGCGCGUAAUGAAAGUGAACGGAGGCGGGAACCUUUUUUUAGGUGCACUGUCGACCGAUCCUGAUGUCUUCGGAUGGAUUUGAGUAAGAGCAUAGCUGUUGGGACCCGAAAGAUGGUGAACUAUGCUUGAAUAGGGUGAAGCCAGAGGAAACUCUGGUGGAGGCUCGCAGCGGUUCUGACGUGCAAAUCGAUCGUCAAAUUUGGGCAUAGGGGCGAAAGACUAAUCGAACUAUCUAGUA
Molecule: ribosomal RNA, 861 nt
Filed under: Halokirschsteiniothelia maritima
Lineage: Eukaryota; Fungi; Ascomycota; Dothideomycetes; Mytilinidiales
Description: LSU rRNA
Rfam family: Eukaryotic large subunit ribosomal RNA
Source: RNAcentral